UCACGUCAUGAAAGUCGGUAACACCCGAAGCCGGUGGCCUAACCCCUUGUGGGAGGGAGCCGUCGAAGGUGGGAUCGGCGAUUGGGACGAAGUCGUAACAAGGUAGCCGUACCGGAAGGUGCGGCUGGAUCACCUCCUUUCUAAGGAG
This 148-nucleotide ribosomal RNA is filed under the name Rhodococcoides kyotonense. RNAcentral describes it as "Rhodococcus kyotonensis partial 16S ribosomal RNA". It matches the Rfam family "Bacterial small subunit ribosomal RNA", at positions 1397 to 1533 of the family's 1533-position model. The record is from RNAcentral. Lineage: Bacteria; Bacillati; Actinomycetota; Actinomycetes; Mycobacteriales; Nocardiaceae.